ACAUGCUAACCUGCUUCCUAAACAACAUAAAAAGCUGACCAGGAGUUUCCAAGGAGUGAUAUUAAGGCCUUCCUUUUGGUAACUAACACAUUACGCCAUUGGACACAAGAGUAAAACAACCUUACGUUUUACCAGGUACAUGGGCUGAGACUCAACAUUAUGGCUUUCCUUACGUACAGGUGAACACCAGCAUUCCCUUCACACGGCCACCCACCGUGCUGAGCUGACGGAUUACUGCAAGUCCUGGUCCUGGUCUGGUUGCCGCGUCCACAGCUCCUUGUGCAUUCUUCCCAAGGACUCCAUUCCGACCAGCUACCAUCCACUAUACAAAAGUGAACCAUUAUACCAUCGGAAUUGUUACCUUGCGUGAUUCCCAGCUAGAACAGCUCCAUCCUUUCUCCAUGUUAUCCUUGGAGCUGGCACACC
Long non-coding RNA from Cebus imitator (Panamanian white-faced capuchin), 426 nucleotides. RefSeq lists it as uncharacterized. NCBI's taxonomy places the organism in Eukaryota, Metazoa, Chordata, Mammalia, Primates, Cebidae. The transcript has 3 exons. The record is from RefSeq and is a predicted model, not a curated record.